UACAGAGGUGGCAAGCGUUGUUCGGAAUUACUGGUCGUAAAGGGCGCGUAGGCGGCCUUCUAAGUCAGACGUGAAAUCCCCCGGCUUAACCUGGGAACUGCGUCUGAUACUGGGAGGCUUGAGUAUGGGAGAGGGAUGUAGAAUUCCAGGUGUAGCGGUGAAAUGCGUAGAUAUCUGGAGGAAUACCGGUGGCGAAGGCGGCAUCCUGGACCAUUACUGACGCUGAGGCGCGAAAGCUAGGGGAGCAAACGGG
RNAcentral lists this ribosomal RNA (253 nucleotides) under uncultured bacterium. RNAcentral's name for it is "partial 16S ribosomal RNA". It matches the Rfam family "Bacterial small subunit ribosomal RNA", at positions 524 to 776 of the family's 1533-position model. The record is from RNAcentral.